This 328-nucleotide ribosomal RNA is filed under the name uncultured Pedobacter sp. RNAcentral's name for it is "bacterial SSU rRNA". It matches the Rfam family "Bacterial small subunit ribosomal RNA", at positions 568 to 898 of the family's 1533-position model. The record is from RNAcentral. Lineage: Bacteria; Pseudomonadati; Bacteroidota; Sphingobacteriia; Sphingobacteriales; Sphingobacteriaceae.
UGCGUAGGCGGCUUAUUAAGUCAGGGGUGAAAGACGGUGGCUCAACCAUCGCAGUGCCUUUGAUACUGAUGAGCUUGAAUACACUUGAGGUAGGCGGAAUGUGACAAGUAGCGGUGAAAUGCAUAGAUAUGUCACAGAACACCAAUUGCGAAGGCAGCUUACUAAGGUGCAAUUGACGCUGAGGCACGAAAGCGUGGGGAUCAAACAGGAUUAGAUACCCUGGUAGUCCACGCCCUAAACGAUGAAUACUCGAUGUUAGCGAUAUACAGUUAGCGUCUAAGCGAAAGCGUUAAGUAUUCCACCUGGGGAGUACGCCCGCAAGGGUGAA